RNAcentral lists this ribosomal RNA (497 nucleotides) under uncultured bacterium. Its description in RNAcentral is "partial 16S ribosomal RNA". It matches the Rfam family "Bacterial small subunit ribosomal RNA", at positions 28 to 507 of the family's 1533-position model. The record is from RNAcentral.
GAUGAACGCUGGCGGCGUGCCUAAUACAUGCAAGUCGAGCGAACAGACGAGGAGCUUGCUCCUCUGACGUUAGCGGCGGACGGGUGAGUAACACGUGGAUAACCUACCUAUAAGACUGGGAUAACUUCGGGAAACCGGAGCUAAUACCGGAUAAUAUAUUGAACCGCAUGGUUCAAUAGUGAAAGACGGUUUUGCUGUCACUUAUAGAUGGAUCGGCGCCGCAUUAGCUAGUUGGUAAGGUAACGGCCUACCAAGGCAACGAUGCGUAGCCGACCUGAGAGGGGGAUCGGCCACACUGGAACUGAGACACGGUCCAGACUCCUACGGGAGGCAGCAGUAGGGAAUCUUCCGCAAUGGGCGAAAGCCUGACGGAGCAACGCCGCGUGAGUGAUGAAGGUGUUCGGAUCGUAAAACUCUGUUAUUAGGGAAGAACAAAUGUGUAAGUAACUAUGCACGUCUUGACGGUACCUAAUCAGAAAGCCACGGCUAACUACGUG